Arachis ipaensis is the source of this 255-nucleotide non-coding RNA. The record is from RefSeq and is a predicted model, not a curated record. Lineage: Eukaryota; Viridiplantae; Streptophyta; Magnoliopsida; Fabales; Fabaceae.
CCCCAACCACGCCCCUUUCUUCCCCCAAAUCCCUAAUUCUGAAUCAGUGAAUCAUAUUCAUCUGUGUGAGAGAAGAGAACAGAGAAGAUUGAACCCUCCACGCCCGAACCCUAGCCUGCCACCGCGCCCUCCUUCGUCGUCGCGGUCACCGGUCAACAGCGCAACCGCCGUCGCCUGGUCGUCAGCCCAAGUAACCCUCCUUCUUCGCCUGGUUCCCUGCCCAGUAGCCAUCCAUCUGCGUCUGGUUCGCUGCCG